RNAcentral lists this ribosomal RNA (233 nucleotides) under uncultured bacterium. RNAcentral's name for it is "partial 16S ribosomal RNA". It matches the Rfam family "Bacterial small subunit ribosomal RNA", at positions 118 to 347 of the family's 1533-position model. The record is from RNAcentral.
UGAGUAACCUGCCCUUAACUCUGGGAUAAGCCUGGGAAACUGGGUCUAAUACCGGAUAUGACUCCUCAUCGCAUGGUGGGGGGUGGAAAGCUUUAUUGUGGUUUUGGAUGGACUUGCGGCCUAUCAGCUUGUUGGUGAGGUAAUGGCUCACCAAGGCGACGACGGGUAGCCGGCCUGAGAGGGUGACCGGCCACACUGGGACUGAGACACGGCCCAGACUCCUACGGGAGCAG